This 496-nucleotide ribosomal RNA is filed under the name uncultured bacterium. RNAcentral's name for it is "partial 16S ribosomal RNA". It matches the Rfam family "Bacterial small subunit ribosomal RNA", at positions 28 to 506 of the family's 1533-position model. The record is from RNAcentral.
GAUGAACGCUGGCGGCGUGCCUAAUACAUGCAAGUCGAGCGAACAGACGAGGAGCUUGCUCCUCUGACGUUAGCGGCGGACGGGUGAGUAACACGUGGAUAACCUACCUAUAAGACUGGGAUAACUUCGGGAAACCGGAGCUAAUACCGGAUAAUAUAUUGAACCGCAUGGUUCAAUAGUGAAAGACGGUUUUGCUGUCACUUAUAGAUGGAUCCGCGCCGCAUUAGCUAGUUGGUAAGGUAACGGCUUACCAAGGCAACGAUGCGUAGCCGAGCUGAGAGGGUGAUCGGCCACACUGAAACUGAGACACGGUCCAGACUCCUACGGGAGGCAGCAGUAGGGAAUCUUCCGCAAUGGGCGAAAGCCUGACGAAGCAACGCCGCGUGAGUGAUGAAGGUCUUCGGAUCGUAAAACUCUGUUAUUAGGGAAGAACAAAUGUGUAAGUAACUAUGCACGUCUUGACGGUACCUAAUCAGAAAGCCACGGCUAACUACGU